CCUUUUUGGAGCCUGGAAAAAAAAAUCUUAAUGUGAUGUCAUUAUAGCACAGUUUCAGAAACCAAGAAGAAACAGUGGCAUCUGUAGCUAAAGUACAAUAACAAUUCUUAAAAUGUUCCUUAAAAGUGGCAAUAAAACCCUGAAAAGACCUUUGGGCCUUAUGAUGAGGCAGCUGCAAAAUCAUGUUAAAAAAUUUCUGUAAGGACAAGAGUAAUUACAAACCUGAUUAAAGUUUACCUACAUUUCAUUCCUAGAGUGUCUGAAAUGAGGACUGUGAAACCAGAUGGUUACAGAGCACAUGUGAUGGAUAUAUUCCAUCAAGCAUGUCCGUUGCCUUGGAAACAACAAGAAUAACAUUAUCUUUAGUGUCUAUUUCUUCACAAAACUGUUCAUUUAAGUGUUGCUGCCAAUCUAAGCAAAAUUCAUGUGAAUGCUUAAGUAUCGGCUCAAAAAAAUAGGUCUGCCUCUCCCCACCCUGUGGUAAGUGUGUUGGACGUUGUUGAGUGUUGCAGGAAUGAUAGCAGUGUGUGUCCUCUCCUCAGUGCAUGCCUUAUUCAGCUGCUUUUCUACAACCUUUCUUUUUGUUUUGUUUUGUUUUGCUUUGUUUUGUUGGCUGGUUGGUUGGUUGGUUGUUUUUUUUUGUUUGUUUUGAGGGAAUUCAAUUUGGGUUAAAAUCUUAAAUUAUCGUAUUCAGAGAGUUCAAUUGUUGUUUGAACAAAAACCAAACCAUAUGAUAAAUGUUUCUUCCUUUCCCAGUUUCUAUACUGAUAAAAGGAACCAGAGGCAGAGCAGAAGAGAGUUUGAAAAAGACAUGAGACAAUACAUAUGGCUUUUACGGGAAGUCUUAACCUUGCAAACAAGCACAUGGAUUAGAAAACAGUAAAUCUGAAGCUGAAUGAGGGAAUGUGUAUAAACAGAGAUGACAGACAGCACUGGCACCGUACUAACUUGAGAACAAAUGGCAUUUCCCACUGCCUUUGGAAGAUCUCCUCUCAAGGAAGGAAGGAAGGAAGGAAGGAAGGAAGGAAGGAAGGAAAGAAGGAACAUAAGGUGCCUCCCUUCUCAGUGACUGCUGCAAAGCUGAAUCCCUGUCAUUUUUAUCCACUGCAUCAACUUGGAUGACAAGCAUUUAGAGGAAAAGGUCAGGCACUAAUGAGUGACUGUGAGUGGGGAGACUGAGCACACCAGUAUUCAACCUCGUCUGGUUCUUUUAUGCUGCUAUGAUAAAAAACAGUUAAUGAUAAUAUUAUUUCUCUGAAGGGAAAAUCCUGUUCAGCAAAGUAAAAAUAUAUAUGACAAUCCUUGUAUAAUCAUUAGUAGAAAUUAUUUUUAAAGUUAGACAUAAAUUUUUCUACGAGACCCCGUAUGUUUGAAAUCACCUUGAAGUUGUUUAAUAUAAUUAGCUUUCAGACAUCAUUUCUAUGUGUUAAAAAUGUGCUAUGAAGAGGUGGAAACCUGAGAACACACCGAAGUGCAGAGUGGGCUUGAAGAAUUAAAUGAAUGUGGUCAGAGAGGAUUAAGUAUUACCAAAAGGAAAGGUUCCCAGAUCUGGGAACCAGUUU
This 1562-nucleotide long non-coding RNA is filed under the name Anser cygnoides (Swan goose). RNAcentral's name for it is "lncRNA (ENSACDG00005003942.1)". Lineage: Eukaryota; Metazoa; Chordata; Aves; Anseriformes; Anatidae. The record is from RNAcentral.